UACGAAGGGGGGCUAGCGUUGCUCGGAAUGACUGGGCGUAAAGGGCGCGUAGGCGGAUGGCACAGUCAGAUGUGAAAUUCCCGGGCUUAACCUGGGGGCUGCAUUUGAUACGUGUUGUCUUGAGUUCGGAAGAGGGUCGUGGAAUUCCCAGUGUAGAGGUGAAAAUUCGUAGAUAUUGGGAAGAACACCGGUGGCGAAGGCGGCGACCUGGUCCGACACUGACGCUGAGGCGCGAAAGCGUGGGGAGCAAACAGG
This 255-nucleotide ribosomal RNA is filed under the name uncultured bacterium. RNAcentral's name for it is "partial 16S ribosomal RNA". It matches the Rfam family "Bacterial small subunit ribosomal RNA", at positions 524 to 776 of the family's 1533-position model. The record is from RNAcentral.